GCCUUCGUAGCUCAGUGGAUAGAGCACCGGUUUCCGGUACCGAAGGUCGUAGGUUCGACUCCUAUCGGGGGCACAA
Molecule: transfer RNA, 76 nt
Filed under: Corynebacterium glutamicum
Lineage: Bacteria; Bacillati; Actinomycetota; Actinomycetes; Mycobacteriales; Corynebacteriaceae
Description: tRNA-Arg
Rfam family: tRNA
About the family: Transfer RNA (tRNA) molecules are approximately 80 nucleotides in length. Their secondary structure includes four short double-helical elements and three loops (D, anti-codon, and T loops). Further hydrogen bonds mediate the characteristic L-shaped molecular structure. tRNAs have two regions of fundamental functional importance: the anti-codon, which is responsible for specific mRNA codon recognition, and the 3' end, to which the tRNAs corresponding amino acid is attached (by aminoacyl-tRNA synthetases). tRNAs cope with the degeneracy of the genetic code in two manners: having more than one tRNA (with a specific anti-codon) for a particular amino acid; and 'wobble' base-pairing, i.e. permitting non-standard base-pairing at the 3rd anti-codon position.
Source: RNAcentral